RNAcentral lists this ribosomal RNA (465 nucleotides) under uncultured Arsenophonus sp. Its description in RNAcentral is "bacterial SSU rRNA". It matches the Rfam family "Bacterial small subunit ribosomal RNA", at positions 338 to 795 of the family's 1533-position model. The record is from RNAcentral. Lineage: Bacteria; Pseudomonadati; Pseudomonadota; Gammaproteobacteria; Enterobacterales; Morganellaceae.
CCUACGGGGGGCUGCAGUGGGGAAUAUUGCACAAUGGGCGCAAGCCUGAUGCAGCCAUGCCGCGUGUAUGAAGAAUGCCUUCGGGUUGUAAAGUACUUUCAGUCGUGAGGAAGGUGUUAAGGUUAAUAACCUUAGCAAUUGACGUUAGCGACAGAAGAAGCACCGGCUAACUCCGUGCCAGCAGCCGCGGUAAUACGGAGGGUGCGAGCGUUACUCGGAAUUACUGGGCGUAAAGGGCACGCAGGCGGUUAAGGAAGAGGGAAGUGAAAGCGGAGGGGGUAAGGAGGGAAGGGAAUAGAAGAAAGGUGAGAUAGAGUCUAGUAGAGGGGGGUAGAAGUCAAGGUGUAGCGGUGAAAUGCGUAGAGAUGGGGAGGAAUAACGGUGGCGAAGGCGGGCCCAUGGACAAAGAAUGAAGCUCAUGUGAGAAAGCGUGGGGAGCAAACAGGAUUAGAGAGAACUGUAGUC